Cyprinodon tularosa is the source of this 822-nucleotide long non-coding RNA. RefSeq lists it as uncharacterized. The record is from RefSeq and is a predicted model, not a curated record. The transcript has 2 exons. NCBI's taxonomy places the organism in Eukaryota, Metazoa, Chordata, Actinopteri, Cyprinodontiformes, Cyprinodontidae.
UAUAAAUAAUGAUUAUUAUAAAUGUUAUUUUUUAAGCACGUAAUUAAAUAAAUUAACCUUAUUUUAAUUAUUUUGGUGGCUGAAUGCAGUUCAAGUCUCAGAUAAGCCGAAAGGGAUCGCUGUAGGCGCUGCUAAAGAGUGUGUGCACACACUCUGUCACGUGCUUCUUACGCUCUGAAACCCCUCCAGAGAGCAAAGAGUGAUGACGGCGUUACACAGUGCGAGCACACUCAGACUUUAGACAGGAGAGUCACAGAGAGGAGAGGAGAAAGGGGGAGAGAGAAGGAUCGACGCACACAAAGCGGCCUCUACUAAAGAGCCUGAUCAGAUGACACUGAUAUUAUGAAACCUGUUAAGAGAGUCAACUAAGUAUUUCAACUUUCUCUGCAAAGAGUUUUUAAAAAGGUCUAUUAUUUUACUGAUAUGUGAAAUACAUUAUUAGUGAAACAGGAACUAAUCGAUGCAUCCUUCUUUCGACUUGUCAUAUGCAAUCAUUUUUUAUAUCAUUGCGUUUAUACAGGCUGUUUGUCAUAAGGGCUGGAGAGUGUGUCUUGUUUCCUGGUGUGUUUUGUUUCAGAAACGCCUCCCCUGAAGUAGGAGCCAUAAUUUGAAGAUCACGCAGCUUUUAAUAGGAGCAGAGUUAUAGCAACUGAUACCGCCUCUGAAUUCCGCGCAGAUAAAGGAGGAGCUGCAGCAACAUCUUCCAGCAGCACACCGUCAGUGGAGCAGAUGAUGAUUGAUUCGCCUGAGAAGGAUCAGAGGAAGCACUCAUUGAUUUCCCUUUUUUUGUUGUUUUAUUAAAAAUAUUUAUUUACCACUGUA